Molecule: ribosomal RNA, 519 nt
Filed under: uncultured bacterium
Lineage: Bacteria
Description: bacterial SSU rRNA
Rfam family: Bacterial small subunit ribosomal RNA
Source: RNAcentral
UGAGGAAUAUUGGUCAAUGGUCGGAAGACUGAACCAGCCAAAUCGCGUGAAGGAAGACAGUAUUAUGUAUCGUAAACUUCUUUUGCAGGGGAAUAAAAGACAUCACGUGUGGUGUAUUGCAAGUACCUUGCGAAUAAGCAUCGGCUAACUCCGUGCCAGCAGCCGCGGUAAUACGGAGGAUGCGAGCGUUAUCCGGAUUUAUUGGGUUUAAAGGGUGCGUAGGUGGUUUUUAAGUCAGCGGUGAAAUCUUAACGCUUAACGUCAACAUUGCCGUUGAAACUGGGGAACUUGAGAGCAGACGAGGCAGGCGGAAUUCGUAGUGUAGCGGUGAAAUGCAUAGAUAUUACGAAGAACUCCGAUAGCGCAGGCAGCUUGCCAGACUGCCACUGACACUGAAGCACGAAAGUGUGGGAAUCAAACAGGAUUAGAUACCCUGGUAGUCCACACUGUAAACGAUGAUUACUCGCUGUUUGCGAUAUACGGCAAGCGGCCAAGCGAAAGCAUUAAGUAAUCCAUCCU